AGAACGAACGCUGGCGGCAUGCCUAAUACAUGCAAGUCGAACGAGCUCUUCGGAGUUAGUGGCGCACGGGUGCGUAACGCGUGGGAAUCUGCCCCUUGGUUCGGAAUAACAGUUGGAAACGACUGCUAAUACCGGAUGAUGACGAAAGUCCAAAGAUUUAUCGCCAAGGGAUGAGCCCGCGUAGGAUUAGCUAGUUGGUGAGGUAAAGGCUCACCAAGGCAACGAUCCUUAGCUGGUCUGAGAGGAUGAUCAGCCACACUGGGACUGAGACACGGCCCAGACCUCCGUACGGGAGCAGCAGUAGGGAUAGUGGACAAGU
This 319-nucleotide ribosomal RNA is filed under the name uncultured soil bacterium. Its description in RNAcentral is "bacterial SSU rRNA". It matches the Rfam family "Bacterial small subunit ribosomal RNA", at positions 26 to 373 of the family's 1533-position model. The record is from RNAcentral.